Molecule: transfer RNA, 82 nt
Filed under: Endocronartium harknessii PhW48OC
Lineage: Eukaryota; Fungi; Basidiomycota; Pucciniomycetes; Pucciniales; Coleosporiaceae
Description: tRNA-Thr (AGT) (tRNA-Thr-AGT-10-1)
Rfam family: tRNA
About the family: Transfer RNA (tRNA) molecules are approximately 80 nucleotides in length.
Source: RNAcentral
GUGUCUGUAGCCUAGCAGUAAAAGGCAGCAGUCUAGUAAACUAUCAUGCCUGAGGUUGUGGGUUUGAAUCCCAUCAGACACA